This 729-nucleotide non-coding RNA is filed under the name Geisha distinctissima. The record is from RNAcentral. Lineage: Eukaryota; Metazoa; Arthropoda; Insecta; Hemiptera; Flatidae.
AAAAAGAUUUUGAUUUUUGAUUUUUUAUUUUAUUUUUUGAUUUUUUUGCAUGUAUAUUUUUUUUAGGAGUGUAUUUUCUUAAUGAUUAUUUUUUUUAUUUUCAGUGUUUAGUUUUUAGGUUAUUAUUUUUUUAAUUUAAGAAAUUUUUUUAUAUCAGAAAAAUUUUGUGCCAGCAUUCGCGGUUAUACAUUAUGGUAAAGUAAAAUUUUUUGGAUUUCAGAUUUUUUUUUAUUUUUUAUAUUUGGGUGAAAUCAAUAUAAUUUUAUUUAUUUUAAUUUCUGUAAAAGCUUAUUAAAAACCAGGAUUAGAUACCCUGUUAUUUUGAAACAAUUUUUUAUUUCCGGUUAGUAUUUUUUUCUGAAAUUCAAUGGAUCUGGCGGUUUUUAAAUCUUUUUAGAGGAACCUGUAUUUUAAAUGAUAGUCCACGAUAAUUUUUACCUUUAUUUUUCUUGUAUAUCUCUGUCGUUGAAUGUAUUGAAAAAUUUAUUUUCCUUUUAUUUAUUUUAGUUAUGUUAGGUCAAGGUGCAGUUUUGUAAAGGUUAAUAUGGGUUACUAUUAUAUUUGUUAUUGGAUUUUAUUUUUUUUAUUUUAUGAAUUUGGAUUUAAAAGUAAUAUUUUUUAUUUAAUUUUAUGAAUUUUGCUCUUAGUAAUGUACAUAUCGCCCGUCAUUCCCAUAAAGUGAGACAAGUCGUAACAAAGUAGAUGUAUCGGAAGAUGUAUCUAGAAUAA